Molecule: transfer RNA, 78 nt
Filed under: Thalassiosira oceanica
Lineage: Eukaryota; Bacillariophyta; Thalassiosirophyceae; Thalassiosirales; Thalassiosiraceae
Rfam family: tRNA
About the family: Transfer RNA (tRNA) molecules are approximately 80 nucleotides in length.
Source: Rfam by way of RNAcentral
GCCCAUAUAGCUCAGUCGGAAGAGCGCCCGGCUUUUAACCGUGUGGUCGUGGGUUUCGAAGGCCCCCAUUUAUAGGGG